This 275-nucleotide long non-coding RNA is filed under the name Phoenix dactylifera (date palm). RNAcentral's name for it is "long non-coding RNA (PDAC_LNC010309)". Lineage: Eukaryota; Viridiplantae; Streptophyta; Magnoliopsida; Arecales; Arecaceae. The record is from RNAcentral.
UUUUCUCCAUUGUAUUUUUCAGAUAAUUCUUUUAAAGUGUUGUUUUCAAUUCUUAACUCUUUAUUUUUCAUAUCAAGUUUCUUAUAAUCACUAACUAACUCAUUGAAGGUAUCAUAUAAUUCAUCGAAAGUGAAACUAGGUGAUGCAUUAGAACUUACCUCAUUAUCUUGAACCAUAAGGCAAAUGUUGGCUACUUCUUGGGGUUCUUCUUCUGAUGAGGAUUCGUCGCUAUCUCCCCACAUUGCAACAAAUGUCUUCUUCUUUUUCUUCAGUGG